Molecule: ribosomal RNA, 445 nt
Filed under: uncultured bacterium
Lineage: Bacteria
Description: bacterial SSU rRNA
Rfam family: Bacterial small subunit ribosomal RNA
Source: RNAcentral
UCCAGACUCCUACGGGAGGCAGCAGUAAGGGAUAUUGGUCAAUGGGGGAAACCCUGAACCAGCAACGCCGCGUGAGGGAAGACGGUUUUCGGAUUGUAAACCUCUGUCCUCUGUGAAGAUGAUGACGGUAGCAGAGGAGGAAGCUCCGGCUAACUACGUGCCAGCAGCCGCGGUAAUACGUAGGGGGCAAGCGUUAUCCGGAUUUACUGGGUGUAAAGGGAGCGUAGACGGCAGUGCAAGUCCGGAGUGAAAGCCCGGGGCUCAACCCUGGGACUGCUCUGGAAACUGUAAAGCUGGAGUGCGGGAGGGGCAGGCGGAAUUCCUGGUGUAGCGGUGAAAUGCGUAGAUAUCAGGAGGAACACCGGCGGCGAAGGCGGCCUGCUGGACCGUAACUGACGUUGAGGCUCGAAAGCGUGGGGAGCAAACAGGAUUAGAUACCCUAGUA